This is a non-coding RNA of Podarcis muralis (Common wall lizard), 533 nucleotides long. The record is from RefSeq and is a predicted model, not a curated record. NCBI's taxonomy places the organism in Eukaryota, Metazoa, Chordata, Lepidosauria, Squamata, Lacertidae.
GCCUCUCUGCAGCUGUCAUGAAGUCCUACAGUUCAUUCAACUGCAGAAAGAGGGAAGGAAUUGGGAGGGAUGUGCUGGCAAUUCUCUAUUAGGCUAAAUGUAUCUCUGUCCUGCAUCAUCUCUUCUAGGUUCAAGCGACUGAGAAGCUUCAUGCAGCCAGAAAGGAGCAAUGAAGUGGCCCCGCUCCAGCACAAGGAACAGCCUGUGGCCAGUGGCGGAGGAAGCCAGAACAUCAAAGAAGAUGGGCACCCAGAGGAGGGGCGAUCUGCCCACCGUGAUGGGGGGAUUCGCCCUUCUAGGGGUGCCAUUGGGGUGCCCAAUGCUCUAGGAGGUGCCAUCGCCUCAGAAAGAACAGAAAAGUGGCCCUGCUGCAGCGCGAGAAGAAGUUUAUGCCUCCAGUUGUGCCGAAGCUCUUCGAGACUCUCCGAAGCCUGAGAAGGCAAUAGCCUACAACAGCUGCCGCAAAUGUGCCCAGCACCCAAAGAAGGUAAAUGAAUCUCCACACCCUGGGGACUUUCCACUUAGUAGCUUUA